RNAcentral lists this ribosomal RNA (379 nucleotides) under uncultured eukaryote. Its description in RNAcentral is "SSU rRNA". It matches the Rfam family "Eukaryotic small subunit ribosomal RNA", at positions 587 to 972 of the family's 1831-position model. The record is from RNAcentral.
AGCUCCAAUAGCGUAUAUUAAAUUUGUUGCAGUUAAAAAGCUCGUAGUUGGAUUUCGGUUCGGCUCGGCCGGUCCGCCGCGAGGCGUGUCACUGGAGGAGCUGAUCUUCCUCGCAGAGACUGCGUGUGCUCUUAGCUGAGUGUGCGUAGGAUUUGCGACGUUUACUUUGAAAAAAUUAGAGUGUUCAAAGCAGGCCACGGCUUGAAUACAUAAGCAUGGAAUAAUGGAAUAGGACGGCGGUUCUAUUUUGUUGGUUUCUGGAACCGACGUAAUGAUUGACAGAGAUAGUUGGGGGCAUUCGUAUUUCGGUGUCAGAGGUGAAAUUCUUGGAUUAUCGAAAGACGAACUACUGCGAAAGCAUUUGCCAAGAGUGUUUUCA